UGAGUACGACGGAGCACGUGAAAUUCCGUCGGAAUCUGGGAGGACCAUCUCCUAAGGCUAAAUACUCUCUAGUGACCGAUAGUGAACCAGUACCGUGAGGGAAAGGUGAAAAGCACCCCGGAAGGGGAGUGAAAUAGAACCUGAAACCGUGUGCUUACAAGUAGUCAGAGCCCGUUAAUGGGUGAUGGCGUGCCUUUUGUAGAAUGAACCGGCGAGUUACGAUUUGAUGCAAGGUUAAGCAGUAAAUGUGGAGCCGUAGCGAAAGCGAGUCUGAAUAGGGCGUUUAGUAUUUGGUCGUAGACCCGAAACCAGGUGAUCUACCCUUGGUCAGGUUGAAGUUCAGGUAACACUGAAUGGAGGACCGAACCGACUUACGUUGAAAAGUGAGCGGAUGAACUGAGGGUAGCGGAGAAAUUCCAAUCGAACCUGGAGAUAGCUGGUUCUCUCCGAAAUAGCUUUAGGGCUAGCCUCAAGUGAUGAUUAUUGGAGGUAGAGCACUGUUUGGACGAGGGGCCCCUCUCGGGUUACCGAAUUCAGACAAACUCCGAAUGCCAAUUAAUUUAACUUGGGAGUCAGAACAUGGGUGAUAAGGUCCGUGUUCGAAAGGGAAACAGCCCAGACCACCAGCUAAGGUCCCAAAAUAUAUGUUAAGUGGAAAAGGAUGUGGCGUUGCCCAGACAACUAGGAUGUUGGCUUAGAAGCAGCCAUCAUUUAAAGAGUGCGUAAUAGCUCACUAGUCGAGUGACACUGCGCCGAAAAUGUACCGGGGCUAAACAUAUUACCGAAGCUGUGGAUUGUCCUUUGGACAAUGGUAGGAGAGCGUUCUAAGGGCGUUGAAGCAUGAUCGUAAGGACAUGUGGAGCGCUUAGAAGUGAGAAUGCCGGUGUGAGUAGCGAAAGACGGGUGAGAAUCCCGUCCACCGAUUGACUAAGGUUUCCAGAGGAAGGCUCGUCCGCUCUGGGUUAGUCGGGUCCUAAGCUGAGGCCGACAGGCGUAGGCGAUGGAUAACAGGUUGAUAUUCCUGUACCACCUAUAAUCGUUUUA
This 1044-nucleotide ribosomal RNA is filed under the name Staphylococcus aureus. RNAcentral describes it as "partial 23S ribosomal RNA". It matches the Rfam family "Bacterial large subunit ribosomal RNA", at positions 409 to 1461 of the family's 2925-position model. Lineage: Bacteria; Bacillati; Bacillota; Bacilli; Caryophanales; Staphylococcaceae. The record is from RNAcentral.